This is a long non-coding RNA of Oncorhynchus tshawytscha (Chinook salmon), 8781 nucleotides long. The record is from Ensembl. Lineage: Eukaryota; Metazoa; Chordata; Actinopteri; Salmoniformes; Salmonidae.
CAUGAAUCUUCUGAGAGAGCAAAACCCAUUGCGCAUAAUUAUUUGCAUUACAUUGUUGAUACAUUACAAAUGAGUAAACAUGAUCUGCAAUGUACAUUUGAAGUCGAAGUUUCCAUACACUUAGGUUGGAGUCAUUAAAACUAGUUUUUCAACCACUCCACAAAUUUCUUGUUAACAAACUAUAGUUCUGUAAGUCGGUUAGGACCUGUACUUUGUGCAUGACACCAGUAAUUUAUACAACAACUGUUUACAGACAGAUUAUCUCACAUAAUUCACUGUAUCACAAUUCCAGUGGGUCAGAAGUUUACAUACACUAAGUUGACUGUGUCUUUAAACAGCUUGGAAAAUUACAGAAAAUGAUGCCAUGGCUUUAGAAGCUUCUGAUAGGCUAAUUGACAUAAUUUUAGUUAAUUGGAGGUGUAAUUGCAGAUGUAUUUCAAGGCCUACCUUCAAACUCCGUGCCUCUUUGCUAGAAAUCAGCCAAGACCUCAGAUGUAAAAAAAUUGUAGAACGCAUGAAGGUACCACGUUCAUCUGUACAAACAAUAGUACGCAAGUAUAAACACCAUGGGACCACGCAGCCGUCAUAUCGCUCAGGAAGAAGACGCGUUCUGUCUCCUAGAGCUGAACGUACUUGUGUGAAACGUGCAAAUCAAUCCCAGUACAACAGCAAAGGACCUUGUGAAGAUGCUGGAGGAAACAGGUCCGAAAGUAUCUAUAUCAACAGUAAAACGAGUCCUAUGUCAACAUAACCUGAAAGGCCACUCAGCAAGGAAGAAGCCACUGCUCCAAACCUCUCUAUAAAAAAGCCAGACUACGGUUUGCAACUGCACAUGGGGACAAAGAUCAUACUUUUUGGAGAAAUGUCCUCUGGUCUGAUGAAACAAAAAUAUAACUGUUUGGCCAUAAUGGCCAUCGUUUGGAGGAAAAAGGCCAAGCCAAAGAACACGGUGAAGCAUGGGGGUGGCAGCAUCAUGUUGUGCGGGUGCUUUGCUGCAGGAGGGACUGGUGCACUUCACAAAAUAGAUGGCAACAUAAGGGAGGAAAAUUAUGUGGAUAUAUUGAAGCAACAUCUCAAUGGGUCCAAAUGGACAAUGACCCCAAGCAUACUUCCAAAGUUGUGGCAAAAUGGCUUAAGGACAACAAAGUCAAGGUAUUGGAGUGACCAUCACAAAGCCAUGAUCUCAAUGCUAUAGAAAAUUUGUGGGCAGAACUGAAAAAGCGUGUGCGAGCAAGGAGGCCUACAAACCUGACUAAGUUACACCAGCUCUGUCAUUAUUGUGGGAAGCUUGUGGAAGUCUACCCAAAACGUUUGACCCAAGUUAAACAAUUUAAAAAGGCAAUUCUGCCAAAUACUAAUUGAUUGUAUGUAAACUUCUGACCAACUGGGAAUGUGAUAAAAUAAAUCAAAUAAAUAAUUCUCUACUAUUAUUCUGACAUUUCACAUUCUUAAAAUAAACUGGCCUAAAACGGGGAAUUUUUAUUAUGAUUAAAUGUCAGGAAUUGUGAAAAACUGAGUUUAAAUGUAUUUGGCUAAGGUGUAUGUAUGCUUCAACUGACUUCAACUGUAUCUGUGAAGGAACUGGCCGUACACACUGGCCAUGCACACUAAGAGGCUUAUUAAAAUGGUAAAUGGACUGGAAACAUUUUCUAAAUCUGUAAAUAAUUAUUGUAAAACAGAUAGGUUAAAAUACAGGCGAUUGAUCCAAGAUGGCGUAGCAGUCGGACGUCGUUUUCCUCAUUUUUUUCUAAUUUUCCAUCUACGAACUGAAUAUACUUUCUUGCAACCCGCCUCACCCAAUGUCAUACGGUUCUGCUAUUUUUAUACUUUAGAAUCGGAACCCCCAUCAGAAGCUAGCCAGCUAACUAGCUAGUAGUCAGUUAGCCCCUGCUAGCGGUCUUCACCGUUAACUCUGACACCAGCCAGCUUCAGCUCGGUCAAUACCUGCCAGUCUGCACAGCGCGAUAUCAACCCAGAGCAUAUCAGACUGCUUUUUCUCUACCUCAUCACCGGAUUCUUGCAGCAAGCCCUGGACCAUUACACCGGAUCGUCACAGCUAGCUAGCUGCAAUCGAGUGGCUAUUGCUGGUUAACACACCUGUCCCGAAGCAAGCACCAGUUAGCCUUGAGCUAGCUUCGAGCUAGGCCUUCUCCCGGCUAGCCGAAGAAGUCUACCAGCUAAUUCUUGGUCUACUAUACCUCUUUUGCCAAUUGGCAUGGACCCUUUAUUGCCAACACGGAACCCCACCGAUCUAUCACGACUGGUCUGCCGACGUAAUCGUCCGACGUGUUUUCAGCAGGCUUUUCCGUUGCGACGUUGCCGAAGCCCAUCUGCUAUCCUCGGCCCACUAGCUCUGAAUCGCCAUGUCUCCAGCUCGCCUAGCGUAGUAGUGGCUACCGAAGGCUCCCUGACUCAUUGGACCCUAUGAUCACUCGGGUAUACAUGCCUCUCCCUAAUGUCAAUAUGCCUUGUCUAUUGUUGUUUUGGUUAGUUAUUGUCUUAUUUUACUGUAGAGCCCCCAGCCCUGCCCAACAUGCCUUAGAGAGCCCUUUUGUCCCACCUCCCCCCACACAUGCGGUGACCUCACAUGGCUUAACUGGUGCCUCUAGAGACAAAACCUCUCAUCGUCACUCAAUGCCUAGGUUUACUCCACUGUUCCCACAUCCUACCAUACCCUUGUCUGUACAUUAUGCCCUGAAUCUAUUCUACCAUGCCCAGAAAUCUGACACUUUUACUCUCUGUUCCAAACGCACUAGGCAACCAGUUCUUAUAGCUUUUAGCCGUACCCUUAUCCUACUCCUCCUCUGUUCCUCUGGUGAUGUCGAGGUUAACCCAGGCCCUGCAGCCCCCAGCACCACACCUGUUCUCCAGGCGCUCUCAUUUUUUGACUUCUGUAACCAUAAAAGCCUUGGUUUCAUGCAUGUUAACAUCAAAAGCCUACUCCCUAAGUUUGUUUUAUUCACUGCUUUAGCACACUCCGCCAACCCUGAUGUCUUAGCCAUGUCCAAAUCCUGGCUUAGGAAGGCCACCAAAAAUUCUUACAUUUCCAUCCCCAAAUACAGCAUUUUCCAACAAGAUAGAACUGCCAAAGGGGGCGGAGUUGCAAUCUACUGCAGCGAUAGCCUGUAGAGUUCUGUCAUACUAUCCAGGUCUGUGCCCAAACAAUUCGAGCUUCUACUUUUAAAAAUCCACCUUUCCAGAAACAAGUCUCUCACCGUUGCUGCUUGUUAUAGACCCCCAUCAGCCCUUAGCUGUGCCCUGGACACCAUAUGUGAAUUGAUUGCCCCCCAUCUUUCUUCAGAGUUCGUACUGAUAGGUGAACUAAAUGUAUAACACCCUGGCCAUCCUACAAUCUAAGCUAGAUUCCCUCAAUCUCACACAAAUUAUCAAGGAACCUACCCGGUACAACCCUAAAUCCGUAACCAUGGGCACCCUCUUAGAUAUCAUCCUGACCAACUUGCCCUCUAAAUACACCUCUGCUGUCUUCAACCAGGAUCUCAGCGAUCACUGCCUCAGUAAUGGGUCCGCGGUCAAACGACCACCCCUCAUCACUGUUAAUACCCUCGUAAAACUGACUAUACUACCGAUCCUUGACUUCGGCGAUGUCAUUUACAAAAUAGCCUCCAACACUCUACUCAGCAAACAGUGCCAUCUGUUUUGUCACCAAAGCCCCAUAUACUACCCACCUGUGUCCUGUAUGCUCUCGUUGGCUGGCCCUCGCUACAUAUUCGUCGCCAAACCCACUGGCCCCAGGUCAUCUAUAAGCCUUUGCUAGGUAAAGCCCCACCGUAUCUCAGCUCACUGGUCACCAUAGCAACACCCACCCGUAGCACGUGCUCCAGCAGGUGUAUUUCACUGGUCAUCCCCAAAGCCAACACCUACUUUGGCCACUCUUCCUUCCAAUUCUCUGCUGCCAACGACUGGAACGAAUUGCAAAAAGCUGGAGACUUAUAGCUCCCUCUCUCUCUCUAACUUUAAGAUUCAACUGUCAGAGCAGCUUACCAAUCACUGUACCUGUACAGAGCCAAUCUGUAAAUAGCACACACACAACUACUUCAUCCCCAUAUUGUUGUCAAUCUUUUUGCUCUUCUGCACCCCAGUAUCUCUACUUGCACAUCAUCAUCUGCACAUCUAUCACUCCAGGGUUAAUGCUAAAUUGUAAUUAUUUCACCUCUAUGGCCUAUUUAUUGCUUUACCUCCCUAAUCUUCUACAUUUGCUCACACUGUACAUUUUUACUGUUGUGUUACUGACUGUAUGUUUUGUUUAUGCCAUUUGUAACUGUUGUUUUUUGUCGCACUGCUUUGCUUUAUCUUGGCCAGGUCGCAGUUGUAAAUGAGAACUUGUUCUCAACUGGCCAACCUGGUUAAAUAAAGAUUUUGGCCAUGACCGGACCUGUGAGGAGAAACUGUCAGCACGAGUGUACCAACCUGAACAGGACCGGCUUCAUCUGCUCCUGUAGACCUGGAUACAGAGUGGACCCGGACAGCACCUUCAACUGCAUAGGUACACACAAAGACAUUCUCACUAGGGUUGAGCCAAUUUAGUCGUCUGGUCGAUAGGCUGUUUGACCGAGAUUUCUUUAGUUGAGCAAAAAAUAAAUAAAUCAUGGUGUACAAGACACCUGUCUGAGUGGACUACUCCAUUGUAGAGGCUGUGGGGAUGGUGCAGUCCAUCACUAAGGCAUGUGCUACUGAAAUUGUAUAUGGUUAAGGACAAUGGUACAAGACUAAUAUUUUUUUAUAUAUAUUUUGUAACAAAUGCGCUUUCUCCCUCGUUUGAUAGUGGUCUGCUGUUCUGAAACAUGAGUGUGCCUUUGAAUUGGUGCCUUUUCCUAGACCAUGUUGCUAUGUGCAUAAUAGCAAAGUUAACCAGUAUAUUGGUGUUGAGAACAAUGUGGUGGAGGCAGCAGCAGAGUUAGGAGACGAGAAAACAGCCCUUGCCUUAAUUGUCUAAGAAAAGUGAGGAGAGAGGAAACCCAAACUUAAUUAGGUCUAUAAUCAAUAGCCUAACUGUUAAAUGUGCCUGUUUUUUUUAAUCAUCCAUAUAUAGUUUAUCUACAGAAAUAAGACAUCCUGCUUGUGUUGCCUGUUUGAGUGUUUGUUUAAUAGCCUACUGAUUCCGUGAGUACCAAGCGUCAUGCAAGACAACAUGUCGGAUAAACAAUUUGACAAAUUCGGCUGUUUUUAAUAUUUGCUGUGCUAUAAUUUCUCAUUAGAACAGACUCUCUGGUAUUACUUGUUUUAGUUUUUAUACUGUUGUCAGGAAAAUAAUAUUUCUAAUAACAAUAAGCCUCCUUUUCUUGAUCUCCUUGUUAUUGUUAUUUUCAUGAUCAUCGUUAUAAGUAAUGUCAUUAUCAUUAGCAGGGUUAGUAGUUUAUAAGCUAUAUGGAAUUGUUUUAAGGUCAUACCAAGGAUAAUUUUGCUAUUAGAUUUUUUGAAUUUUAAGACGCAUUGAAGUAUCAAAAAAAUAUAUUACAAAAAAUAUUACAAAAUUAAUUUUUGGGCCUUACUGCUAUUAGCCCAUUCAAACGCAUUGAAUAACAGAUUCAUUACACAGAACAGCAGAUAGGACAGACACUUUUGAUUUUGUUUGGGACUAUAUCUCAGAGAUGUAAGAAAGAUCAGGAAACAUUUUGUUGUACAUGUAUUUAACCUCUUAUUUUUGUCACUAAACAGUGUCCAUAUACUGUUUUGUUUCAACUAGUACAAUGGGACCUUCAGACUAGUCUUUUGAGGCCUAGAGCAUAACAAGACUCUCACCUUUACACAGAGGGGUCAUAUUAGUGUGUAGCCCAAACCGUUUGGGCGCUACAGACAGAUGUUGGCAAAUCGGUUGUACCGACUGCAGAUGAGUCCCAAGACGCUUGUGGGGGUAUCAUAGAGCAAGAUUCUCAUCUUUCCAUAGAGGGGUCAUAAUAGUUCCUAGGCCAAACCAUUCCGACUCUACAGACUAUUUUGUGAGUAUACCGAUCUUCGGGUCAUCGUGUUCGGACAAACACCGUUCUAGUUCUAUCACCUUUCACUGCAGCUACGGAAGUGUUACUUAGGCGGAUGCGGUCGACUGAAAUGCGUCCAAUGUCAAACUGAUAUCUCUAGCUUAAACUGACAGACUUUAAUGGGGGGUUUUGUACCAUGCGAGUUUGAUUUCCACGAGGGCGCGGACAUCGACCUUAAUUAUUUAAUCAGACAGAGCGCUUAAAGCACCAGACAAGCUCAGUGCAUAUAGUUGAUUUGAUUAAAACUCAUAGGAUGUGUCUAUAUAUGGACAAAUACAUGUUUAAAAAAUGUUUGACCUAUCACGAUACAUACACACUCCAGAAUUCACUUAAAAAUUCAACUUAGACUACACCCACACAGACAUUAACAACAUGAAUAUGGUUUAUUAACUGGAUCGUUCACUUCAUUCCAUCUCUUCCUUGUAGAGUUGUUGUUCACUGAAAACAAUGAAACACAAUCAACGCAGCGUAGAUAACCCUCUGAAAGAACAUGAAUCAAAGUGUUUAUUGUAAAAAAGCAGCAUUAGUACAACUCCUUUUUGUGGUUAUAUACAGUAUUGGUCAAUUCUUUGUCCAAAACAUGUUUUGCUUAGAAAAUAACAUUUAUGUCCAUGUUUACAAUAUGAGGGGCAAACUCACUUCCUGACAUGCACCCACCCCUACCCAGACCUUGCUACCCUAUAAACAAUAACAAGCACAUAGUUACUUAACUUUCUACCAAAAUUUUCCCCAGAUAUCAACGAGUGUGAGGCACAUGGGACUUGCCCGCAGGUCUGCAAGAACACCAAGGGCGGGUACGACUGUGAGUGUGCCCCCGGGUACCGCAAAGUGGGCAAUGGCAACCAGUGUGAAGCUGAGGGUGCCGGGCCUCUCCUGUUGCUCCCAGAGAAUAUCCGUAUCCGGAAGUUCAACUUGCAGAUGGAGGCCUACCAUGACUUCCUCGAGGAGCAGGAGCACAUCAUGGCUCUGGACUAUGACUGGGACCACAACAACACUGGACUCAGUAUGGUGUAUUUCACAGUGGAGGGGAAGGACAGUGCAGCAGGCGCCAUCAAGAGGGCAUAUAUACCCACAGUGGAUGACAAUAGCAACAAUAUUGCCGCCGCUGUCGACCUGGGCAUCAAAUACAUUACCACACCAGAUGGCAUCGCUGUUGACUGGGUCGGAAGGAACCUUUACUGGGCGGACUCGAGAGUCAAGAGGGUAGAGGUGGCCAUGCUGGACGGGCGCUACAGGAAGCACCUGGUCAAGACGGACAUUGACCAUCCCUCUGCUGUGGCUGUCAAUCCUCGACUGGGGAUGCUGUACUGGGCGGACCGCGGAACCGCGGCCAGGAUCGAGUACUCUUGGUUGGACGGGCAGCACCGGAAUGUCCUGGUGCCCGAAGGCCUGGGUUUUCCCACAGGCCUGUCAAUCGACUACGCCAACGGUGACCGGGUCUACUGGUCCGAUGCCAAGGAGUCGCAUUGAGUCGGUGCUACCUUCCGGAGAAGACCGCCGCACUGCACUGUAUAUUGAUGUGCGGUACCCUUUCAGUGUGAGUGUGUUUGAGGACCACAUUUACUGGAGCACGCAGGAGAAAGGGGAAGUGUUCCGACAGGACAAGUUUGGCCGUGGCACCAAGACCAAGCUGCUCACCGCUGGGUCCUGGCUCACCCAGAUCAGUGUGUACCAGCAGCAGAGAUACAACUCAAUAGGCAUGAAAACCCCUUGUAAAGGGACCUGUAGUCACUUGUGUCUGCUCAGACCUGGAGGCUACACCUGCGCCUGCCCUGAGGGAUCCAGCUUUGUCUCUGGCAGCAACACAGACUGUGAUGCAGGAUUUGACCCUCCACCCACCAUGCCCCCUCCAUGCCAGUGUAUAAAUGGCGGAACAUGCUACUUUGAUGACAACAAGGCCAUGUGCAUGUAAGUUGGCUAAUGGCAGGGAGACUUUUGCGAGAUAAACAUAUUUGGGGUGGUCGCAUCUUCAGUGGGUAUAGCCAUCGGGGUGACUGUACUGAUAGUACUUCUCCUUGGGGGUCUGGUCUAUGCUGCCCAGAGGAAGGCCAGUGUCACGGAGACAAUAAGCCGCAUCAUGCCAAGUAUGCCUAGCUUCAGGGGUUCCCCAUAUCAAAGCUCUGACCCAUCAAAGGAGGAGGGGAGUGACCCGGGCCCAAGCAUCAAAGCGGAGCCCUGUACUGCUGUUCCUAUGGAGGAGGCAGGGGGGAAGAGUUUUGAGAACCCCGCCUAUGCAGCUGAGGGGGAUGAGAGACCUGCCCCUAACGGCAUCACUACUGCCAUCCUUGUGCCCAAUGGGACAGCAAUGGAGAACAUUGAGAACCCGUUGUAUGCUGAGGUUCGUGUGAUAGCUGAGCCUGACCCUGAGCCCGACGCUAGCACCACACCUGCUAAUACUUUAUCAGUCGAGGGGGCCUUUGAGAAUCCAGGUGAGGAACUGACUCCCGAGGAACCAGUCGCCGACGAGUCACUAAAGUUCGAACCCAUUCCUGAUGACAAUGCCGACGACAGUUUCAUAAACCCAAUGUUCUCGGAUCCCACUUACCCAUCCACCCCAGCAGACUCCUUCAUUUGACCUCCACACCAGGCAAAUCAGUGGACAAAACAGGACUAAACUGAACACUAGGACUAAAUCAUACCUCUCCCACCUUUCCCUGGUUGUAAAAUGGGUUAUUAAAGCUAACCUACUGUCAUUUUUUCCUAAAUAUAUUUCAUGAUGCAAUGAUGUGCCAAAUAUGUGAUUUAGUGUAUUAUUAUCGGGUAAGCAUUAGAAUAAUGUCUCUAC